Molecule: unclassified non-coding RNA, 237 nt
Filed under: uncultured Hymenogaster
Lineage: Eukaryota; Fungi; Basidiomycota; Agaricomycetes; Agaricales; Hymenogastraceae
Description: sequence contains ITS1
Source: RNAcentral
ACGAGUUUUUGAAACGGGUUGUUGCUGGCCCCCUGGGGGCAUGUGCACACCCACCAUCCUCAUCUCUCCCCCUGUGCACCUCUUGUAGACUUGGGAUAAAACUUUCCGAGGCAACUCGGUCUGGAGGAAUGCUACCCCAAGCUUUCCUUGUAUUUAUUUCCUGGUCUACGUUUUUCAUAUACCCCAUAGUAUGUAACAGAAUGUAUCGUUUGGGCGCUUGUGCCUAUAAACCUUAUA